RNAcentral lists this ribosomal RNA (238 nucleotides) under uncultured bacterium. RNAcentral's name for it is "partial 16S ribosomal RNA". It matches the Rfam family "Bacterial small subunit ribosomal RNA", at positions 524 to 761 of the family's 1533-position model. The record is from RNAcentral.
UACGAGGGGGGCGAGCGUUGUUCGGAAUUAUUGGGCGUAAAGGGUGCGUAGGCGGUUUGUCGCGUCUGCCGUGAAAGUCCGGGGCUCAACCCCGGGAGGCGGGCGGAUACUGUCGGGCUAGAGUCCGGAAGGGGCGAGUGGAAUUCCUGGUGUAGCGGUGAAAUGCGUUGAUAUCAGGAGGAACACCCAUGGCGAAGGCAGCAUACUGGCCGGCAUCUGACGCUGAGGCGCGAAAAGC